AGUGAACGCUGGCGGUAGGCCUAACACAUGCAAGUCGAACGGCAGCACAGUAAGAGCUUGCUCUUACGGGUGGCGAGUGGCGGACGGGUGAGGAAUACAUCGGAAUCUACUUUUUCGUGGGGGAUAACGUAGGGAAACUUACGCUAAUACCGCAUACGACCUACGGGUGAAAGCAGGGGAUCUUCGGACCUUGCGCGAUUGAAUGAGCCGAUGUCGGAUUAGCUAGUUGGCGGGGUAAAGGCCCACCAAGGCGACGAUCCGUAGCUGGUCUGAGAGGAUUAUCAGCCACACUGGAACUGAGACACGGUCCAGACUCCUACGGGACGCAGCAGUGGGGAAUAUUGGACAAUGGGCGCAAGCCUGAUCCAGCCAUACCGCGUGGGUGAAGAAGGCCUUCGGGUUGUAAAGCCCUUUUGUUGGGAAAGAAAAGCAGCAGGUUAAUACCCCGCUGUUCUGACGGUACCCAAAGAAUAAGCACCGGCUAACUUCGUG
Molecule: ribosomal RNA, 492 nt
Filed under: uncultured bacterium
Lineage: Bacteria
Description: partial 16S ribosomal RNA
Rfam family: Bacterial small subunit ribosomal RNA
Source: RNAcentral